CACCGCGGUUAUACGAGAGGCCCAAGUUGAUAACCACCGGCGUAAAGCGUGGUUAAGUUAAAACUCACACUAAAGUCAAACAUCUUCAAGACUGUUAUACGUAACCGAAGACAGGAAGUUCAACCACGAAAGUGACUUUAUUUGAUCUGAACCCACGAAAGCUAAGGAA
RNAcentral lists this ribosomal RNA (169 nucleotides) under Blepsias bilobus (crested sculpin). Its description in RNAcentral is "partial 12S rRNA". The record is from RNAcentral. Lineage: Eukaryota; Metazoa; Chordata; Actinopteri; Perciformes; Agonidae.